AUAGGAAACAGAUGAUGAACGAGGUGCUAAAGCUGCGAUCCCUGGAGACUAGCCCCCAGGAAACCACUGUGGGUGUGUGCAGUACCAGAGGGUCAGGAGUAAGUAAGUGUUCCGCGUAGAAACAUCCCAGCCAUGCAUCAAGGGAGACAGAAUCUUCCAGAACUCAAACCUCAAGAGCACUGAGGACCUCAGCGGUAACAACAAACCUCCUCCUUCUCAUCACGGACGAACUGAGCCCUUGCAUUCGUCUCCCUGGAUCGCUUACAACAAUCACAGAGACAGGCUAUCGACUCCAUGCUACAGAUAGGGCCUGCAGUCAGACCCUUCUCACACGAGCUCCCAGUGUCAGAGCUUCAAGUGGAAGGGAUGGCAAGGCCAUUUUCAUCUGAGGCUGUACCUCUCUGAAGGACCUACGGAGGAGGAACCGCAUCAACUCUGGAGUGCAGACUCUUGGGGGGGGAAGAAGGAUAGUCCAGGAAGUCCCAGUCAAUGAUAACAAAACAUUGAGCAAUACUUUUAAAGACUGCUUCAACUGUAAGAACACAAACCAAACAUCUGAAAUAAUGAGUCACCUACUGGCUUGAAUCCGAAGCACCAGGUCAAAUGCAGUUGAAGCCACGUCAGUGCCUGAAGCAACUCGAGUGCAGCGAGUGGACGGAUUUCUGCCGUCUGGAAUCUGCACACUCUUUCUAUCGUGAUGGAUGAUGUCUCAGUAACGAGAGGCAUGCCGAGCAGUCCUGGCCGUUCAGGAUGGCAUCAGGACAAUCUAUGGCAUUCCUUCUCUCUGAAAUUGCCUCUCUUUCCUUAGAGGAGAUUCCAGACCACGAAAAACCGGAAAAGAAACUCAAAAUCAAAUAACAUUAUUUUUCCCUUAAAAGCAUCUCUGGGCCAGGGUAGCCUGAAGGAAAGAUAGGUUUAAAUUACCAGUCAUGGUAUUAAUUAAUAGCACUCUGGAUCUGUGAAUUUAAGCUAAAUUUAUUCUUAAUUAUAUUAGAUAAUAA
Molecule: long non-coding RNA, 1001 nt
Organism: Bos taurus (domestic cattle)
Lineage: Eukaryota; Metazoa; Chordata; Mammalia; Artiodactyla; Bovidae
Source: Ensembl